AGAACGAACGCUGGCGGCAUGCCUAAUACAUGCAAGUCGAACGAACACUUCGGUGUUAGUGGCGCACGGGUGCGUAACGCGUGGGAAUCUGCCCUUGGGUUCGGAAUAACAGUUGGAAACGACUGCUAAUACCGGAUGAUAUCGAAAGAUCAAAGAUUUAUCGCCCAGGGAUGAGCCCGCGUAGGAUUAGCUAGUUGGUGAGGUAAAGGCUCACCAAGGCGACGAUCCUUAGCUGGUCUGAGAGGAUGAUCAGCCACACUGGGACUGAGACACGGCCAGACUCCGUACGGGAGGCAGCAGUAGGGAAUAUUGGACAGUGGCGACAAGCUGACUCCAGCAAUGCCGCGUGAGUGAUGAACGGU
This 362-nucleotide ribosomal RNA is filed under the name uncultured soil bacterium. Its description in RNAcentral is "bacterial SSU rRNA". It matches the Rfam family "Bacterial small subunit ribosomal RNA", at positions 26 to 416 of the family's 1533-position model. The record is from RNAcentral.